This is a long non-coding RNA of Callithrix jacchus (white-tufted-ear marmoset), 1642 nucleotides long. RefSeq lists it as uncharacterized. Lineage: Eukaryota; Metazoa; Chordata; Mammalia; Primates; Cebidae. The record is from RefSeq and is a predicted model, not a curated record.
UCCGGGAGCCUCACAUGCCCCCCAACGUGACAGGUGGGAGGCGCCAGCCAGAUAGACAACAGCCUAUCUCGAAGAGUCCUAAAUGGGGAGCCGGGAGACUGCAGGGCCACGCUUGGAACUGCCUGGUUCCCACUGAGAGGGAAGCUGAGAUAGGGGAAGAACAGGACAGGCUGGGAGCCGAGCCCCUGUGGUUAGGGACAGCAGCACAGCACCGAGAGAGGAAACGUCCUCAGGGAAAUGUAGGGGCAGGUGGAAGCAGUGCUGUGGGGUGGGGAUGGGGAUGGCUGGGAUCCAGACUGCCUGAAUAUUUGGGAAGGAAGGGAAGGUGGCCCCACCCAGGACUCACAGAUGAGGUGCUGCACUGAGGUGGAGGCGUCCAGGCUCUCGCUGGCGAAGUGGCCGAUCUCCCCCCUGGGCGAAAGGAGAGGAAGUCGGGAGCCGCGCGGCGAACCUGGGACCUGGGCUCCAAUCCCAGCGCCCCCACUGGCUGGCCCUGUCUCUCAAUCUCUCUGUGAACUCUCGGCGCUUCAGCAGCCAAACGGGAAGCACCUGCUGCCUCUGCUGUGCAGGGCUGGGAAGGAGGAGGAAGGGUCCGCCAGAGGCCGACCACAGGAGGAUGGCGGGGGGCAGCAGGACCCCACGCUGCUAGAAGCAUAGGAGCCUGCCGGGGCUGGCCCUGGGUCCUGGUCUGUAUCAGUCCUGAGGACCAAGCAGAAGGCAGCCGGUAACGUGCAGUGGGUGAGCCCCACGGCUGGGCCCGGGGCUGCGGAAGGGAAAGACCCUGCUUUGGAUUCGCUCCUAAUCACGAACGCGCCCUCCAGCAAGGCCGGCCUCUGCCUCUCCAGCCACUCACCGAGCAAACAGGCAGAAAGAACCUUCUAGGACAGGCGUUGGGUGCCAGUGGGGGUGGGAGGCCGGAGAGCCUCUCAUCCGGAGUAGCCGGAUGAGCAAUUCCCCCCGUGGGCAGCCAUCGCGGGACGAAGGGACAGGCGGCGGCCAUCGCGGGACGUCUGAGGUUAAAUCUUAAACGAAGGAGAGGCUUCCUUUGGGUCGCCACACAGGGCUGGGCAGAGCAGAGAGGGGGUCAGAGGUUUGAGGACAUCCUCCCCGAUGGUGGCCCUUUGAGGUCAAGCAAAGACUCUCCUCUGGGGGUGUUUUGGCCACGUUUUCCUCUGCUGGGCUCUUGUUGGUUUGAGGAUUAUAGUCUGGAAGGAAAAACCAUCCUAGCAGUUACUGAAACAAUAUUUCAAACGGAGUUCAGACCGAGUGACAGAAUGGCUCAGGUAUUUUGUAGCUGUCCUCAACUGCAGCACCAAAGACUGUUGCUGCAGUCGGUGGCUCUGGGGUUUUCCUGCCUCCCUUGGAGCAGGGGCUUCCCUGACAACAGCCCCUCUCUGGGAGCUGUGUGGCAUCCAGCAGCCCUGCUCUCUAGGGGUGUGGGAGAGCAUGUUAGACCUGGAAGGUGAAAGAACUAAACGGGUACUCACAGAGUAGCAGCCGCUAGGAAGGCAGGAGGAAUAGGGAUGGGGGGGUAGGGCCUCUUUCCCUCCCUAAACUGACUACAGCUGGGGAAAGAACGGUGGCUAAUGAAAACUCAUGGUACUCUAACACUGACCCCAACAAUAAAGCUAUAUAACAAGAA